UGGGGAAUAUUGCACAAUGGGCGCAAGCCUGAUGCAGCCACGCCGCGUGUAUGAAGAAGGCCUUCGGGUUGUAAAGUACUUUCAGUGGGGAGGAAGGGAGUAAAGUUAAUACCUUUGCUCAUUGACGUUACCCGCAGAAGAAGCACCGGCUAACUCCGUGCCAGCAGCCGCGGUAAUACGGAGGGUGCAAGCGUUAAUCGGAAUUACUGGGCGUAAAGCGCACCCAGGCGGUUUGUUAAGUCAGAUGUGAAAUCCCCGGGCUCAACCUUGGAACUGCAUUCGAAACUGAUGAACUUGAGUAGUGGAGAGGAAAGUGGAAGUACUAGUGUAGUGGGGAAAUACGUAGAUAUUAGGAGGAAUACCAGUAGCGAAGGCGACUUUAUGGACACAAACAGACGCAGAAGUACGAAAGCGUGGGGAGCAAACAGG
Molecule: ribosomal RNA, 429 nt
Filed under: Chloroflexota bacterium
Lineage: Bacteria; Bacillati; Chloroflexota
Description: Chloroflexi bacterium partial 16S ribosomal RNA
Rfam family: Bacterial small subunit ribosomal RNA
Source: RNAcentral